Molecule: ribosomal RNA, 255 nt
Filed under: uncultured bacterium
Lineage: Bacteria
Description: partial 16S ribosomal RNA
Rfam family: Bacterial small subunit ribosomal RNA
Source: RNAcentral
AUCGGUGAAAGAUGGAUCCGCGUCUGAUUAGCCAGUUGGCGGGGUAACGGCCCACCAAAGCGACGAUCAGUAGCCGGCCUGAGAGGGCGGACGGCCACAUUGGGACUGAGACACGGCCCAGACUCCUACGGGAGGCAGCAGUGGGGGAUAUUGCACAAUGGGCGCAAGAAGGAUGCAGCGACGCCGCGUGAGUGAAGAAGUAUUUCUAUAUGGGAAGCUCUAUCAGCAGGGAAGAAAGGCCCGCAAGGGAGAUGA